RNAcentral lists this ribosomal RNA (1249 nucleotides) under Campylobacter coli. RNAcentral's name for it is "bacterial SSU rRNA". It matches the Rfam family "Bacterial small subunit ribosomal RNA", at positions 267 to 1533 of the family's 1533-position model. Lineage: Bacteria; Pseudomonadati; Campylobacterota; Epsilonproteobacteria; Campylobacterales; Campylobacteraceae. The record is from RNAcentral.
ACCAAGGCUAUGACGCUUAACUGGUCUGAGAGGAUGAUCAGUCACACUGGAACUGAGACACGGUCCAGACUCCUACGGGAGGCAGCAGUAGGGAAUAUUGCGCAAUGGGGGAAACCCUGACGCAGCAACGCCGCGUGGAGGAUGACACUUUUCGGAGCGUAAACUCCUUUUCUUAGGGAAGAAUUCUGACGGUACCUAAGGAAUAAGCACCGGCUAACUCCGUGCCAGCAGCCGCGGUAAUACGGAGGGUGCAAGCGUUACUCGGAAUCACUGGGCGUAAAGGGCGCGUAGGCGGAUUAUCAAGUCUCUUGUGAAAUCUAAUGGCUUAACCAUUAAACUGCUUGGGAAACUGAUAGUCUAGAGUGAGGGAGAGGCAGAUGGAAUUGGUGGUGUAGGGGUAAAAUCCGUAGAUAUCACCAAGAAUACCCAUUGCGAAGGCGAUCUGCUGGAACUCAACUGACGCUAAGGCGCGAAAGCGUGGGGAGCAAACAGGAUUAGAUACCCUGGUAGUCCACGCCCUAAACGAUGUACACUAGUUGUUGGGGUGCUAGUCAUCUCAGUAAUGCAGCUAACGCAUUAAGUGUACCGCCUGGGGAGUACGGUCGCAAGAUUAAAACUCAAAGGAAUAGACGGGGACCCGCACAAGCGGUGGAGCAUGUGGUUUAAUUCGAAGAUACGCGAAGAACCUUACCUGGGCUUGAUAUCCUAAGAACCUUUUAGAGAUAAGAGGGUGCUAGCUUGCUAGAACUUAGAGACAGGUGCUGCACGGCUGUCGUCAGCUCGUGUCGUGAGAUGUUGGGUUAAGUCCCGCAACGAGCGCAACCCACGUAUUUAGUUGCUAACGGUUCGGCCGAGCACUCUAAAUAGACUGCCUUCGUAAGGAGGAGGAAGGUGUGGACGACGUCAAGUCAUCAUGGCCCUUAUGCCCAGGGCGACACACGUGCUACAAUGGCAUAUACAAUGAGACGCAAUACCGCGAGGUGGAGCAAAUCUAUAAAAUAUGUCCCAGUUCGGAUUGUUCUCUGCAACUCGAGAGCAUGAAGCCGGAAUCGCUAGUAAUCGUAGAUCAGCCAUGCUACGGUGAAUACGUUCCCGGGUCUUGUACUCACCGCCCGUCACACCAUGGGAGUUGAUUUCACUCGAAGCCGGAAUACUAAACUAGUUACCGUCCACAGUGGAAUCAGCGACUGGGGUGAAGUCGUAACAAGGUAACCGUAGGAGAACCUGCGGUUGGAUCACCUCCUUUCUA